GACACCGGCCCUCGAGGCCUGGAGUUGCCCACCCCUGAUAUAGACAGAUCUUAAGAGCCUGUCUGACUGGAGGCAGGGCAGCGCUGUUAUGGAUGUUUGAGGCUGGCAGUGCAGACUGGGGCGACGGGAGGCGGUGCUGGCAGUAAACAGCAGCCGCAGGGAAACGGUCAACUGGCACACCCCACCAAAAAUAGAUCAUUACAGAAGUCUUCAGUGAGCAGUAGAUGGAUCAACUGAGGAGCCAGAUGCAUUUCUAAUUUCUUCUGACAGGUCUUUGCUGGAUUUCCCAUUUCUUAUGGACAUGAACACCUUGUUGGUCAAAAUACUCUUUUGUGUAGUCAAACUGUGUUCUCUUGGGUAUUUUUUUGUCAAUUUAAGUAAUGAAAAUGGAACAACUUAUGUGUCUUUGUGACAGGCUGCCCAUAAACUGCAUAAAAAUACAAUUUAAAACUGGUUCUUAGCCAAGUUGUCUUAUGUGUAGACAACACUGCUUCACCUCUUGAGUAAGGGGCAUUUUUUAUGCUGGAAUGAAUCAUUUCAGUGUUAAGUGGCUUAACAAACCAACAAGCAAACAAAAAUAUUCUUCUGAAAACGGACAGAUAUAAGAACUGGACUACAAUGAGUGAAAAAGAAGGCAAUGUCCAAAGAAAAACUCUGAAAGACCUUCAGAAAGACAGGAGAAUUAUUGCUCAAGAUAACUUUAAAAACUACAAGAAACUCAGGCUCCUUGGAAGCAGUAUUGUACAUUACUAUACUUUAGUAUUAGUAGUAAAUCAUAAGUAGAUUAGCAUAAAUUCAUCCUUAGGCAUGGAUUAAUUUUCCACAGCAGACAUGUACAUGACACAAACAAGUAGGACAUAACAUUUUGUAAAAAGAAAACACUGAAUGUAUUUAUUAUUUAUUAUCUGCAACUAUAUUUUUAAAUAAGUUUAAUUUUAAUUACUUGCCUUUGAAAGUUAUGGUUAGGCAAACAACAGGUGGUUGGCCAAGAUUUGUAAUUAACAGAAACUAAAGGAAACAGGCUGCCCUUUUCACACUGUUAAAAAGUAAUCAUGAAAAUAAUCAAUGAAUGAUUCAAGAGUUAGAAUGAUAUUUAUCUGGAGCUGUGAGAUUAACUGGCAACUCUGGAUUUGGAGAAACCAAAAAUGUACAUGUUAUAAAUCAUUAAAAAAAUAAAAUAAAACGCAUUGAAUUUCCCAUUUUUUCUGAUGCUAUAAGAAUUCCCAGGACUACGAUCUCACAUCCUGAGAAACAAUGUUUUUAGCUCCACAUCCAGCACCGCCGCGUUCCAGACGCCGUCUAAGGGUGAACACAGGAAACCUCAAGUGAUCGCUUCCUCUCUUUAAGAAUAGACUGACAUCACUUUCUACCAGCAUGAUCGCCUGACUGAGUGACACAUUAUUAUGUAAUGUGUGCUAUGCUUAACGCCCAGGCUGGAAGUACACUGGGAGUUGUCCUACCUCCUCCUUCUACUCCUUUAAGCUUUUUUUUCUGCUCUUCAAGACAAAAUAAAUAAAAGCAAAAACACAUAAAAGGAAAACAUGCCACAGGUUUGUAUUCUCUGAAAGGUCACGCUCGCUUAAAAAUAAAAUAAUUUCUUUGACAGGAGGUUGAAAAAGUUAAAUCCCCUGAGAUUUACCUUCAGGAGGAAGGAGGAAAGUAGCUGUCCUCCUGUUAUAAAGAGCUGCUCUGCUUCACAGAACGUGUCAGAAGCUAUUACGAGCUUCCUUUCUCCCUCAUGUUUGAUCUACAUUUAACCACCACUACAAAGAAAGAAAAAUCAGCACAGGGAGACUGGCUGCUGGUCUGCCAUUGGGGAGACUUGUAAUUCUUUCUGAAAGCAUACAGUA
Oreochromis niloticus (Nile tilapia) is the source of this 1850-nucleotide long non-coding RNA. RefSeq lists it as uncharacterized. NCBI's taxonomy places the organism in Eukaryota, Metazoa, Chordata, Actinopteri, Cichliformes, Cichlidae. The record is from RefSeq and is a predicted model, not a curated record. The transcript is spliced from 3 exons.